Molecule: long non-coding RNA, 463 nt
Organism: Cynocephalus volans (Philippine flying lemur)
Lineage: Eukaryota; Metazoa; Chordata; Mammalia; Dermoptera; Cynocephalidae
Exons: 2
Source: RefSeq, a predicted model, not a curated record
UCUGAAGGCUUGGGAGUGUCUACCCUGAUUUCAGAAGGUGUACGGAAAAGCUUGUGGGCCCAGGAGGAGAUUUGUCUCAAAGGCGGAUUCACCACAUAGGGCCUUCACUAGAGCAGUGCGGAGCAGAAAUGUGGGGUCAGAGUUGCAGCAGAGAAACCCCAACAGCGCCAUGCCUAGUGGAGCCGUGGGGGUGGGACAGCCAUGGAGAUCCCAGACUUGUGGAGCUACCAGAGUGGAAUGCCAGCCUGGGAGAGCUAAAUGUGGUCUGCCACCAGGAGAGCCAUAGGAGCAGAGCUGCCCAAGGACUUGGUGACCCAACACCCGCACCAGCAUGCAGAGGACGUCAAACAUGGAGUCAAGCAUCUUGCAAUAUGAGACCCCUGGGUCACUGUCACCACCACCAGAUGGGCUUUGGACUUCCCAGCCUCAGAAACUGAAGCAAUAAAUUUUAUUUUCCUAUAAA